Myotis daubentonii (Daubenton's bat) is the source of this 2252-nucleotide long non-coding RNA. RefSeq lists it as uncharacterized. The record is from RefSeq and is a predicted model, not a curated record. Lineage: Eukaryota; Metazoa; Chordata; Mammalia; Chiroptera; Vespertilionidae.
UCAGUUAGGCUCUGAGUCCGGGCGGUCGCGCGGCCUCCCGCCCCUCCCUCGGGACUGGCUCGGCGGAGGAGACUCCCGCCCUCGGCCCUCCACGCGGCUCCGACCCAACUCUGCCCGAACUCCGAGAGCUGGGCAUAGCCCCGCCAUGCGGAACGUUUUGCUGCCAAGGGCCCCGGCCGGUCUCCCCGCGGGUCACCUGGGUCCCGCCACGCACCCCAUCCCGCACCCAGUCUUCGGGAGGCCCGCUCGCGCUGCCCUUGGGGAGGAGACAGGUGACGCGAACAGUCAGGGGCCAGGAAGGAAGGUCCAAGGGCCUGCAACAUUCCAGGACCACCAGCAAGGCCUGUGCCCUCUCCCAGAAAGGCCAGUGAGAUGAGUUCAGGAUGUGGUACUCAGGGCUCCGUGCCCAAGGUCACCUCUCCACUUGCCACUUCCCUCAGAACUCAGCAGUGCAAGGAGGGCCUUGCCACCUGCACCCGGUACAGCAGCCGUUUUCGAGGCCUGGCCACACACCUGCAUGGAUGUGGAUGGAAGCAUGAUUCCCACUGGACCUCGCCUCAGAGAGUUUCAGCUGGACCUUAUGGAAAAGUCACAGCUAGGAGAUAGCUGGGGAGCUGCGAAGGGGUCUGUGUCCAGCUGGCAGUGUUUGCUGAUGAACUGAACGUGGCUGUGACAGACAGGAGUCAAGGACACCUCCAAAGUUUCCAGCCCGAACGCGUCCAAGAAUGGUGAGGCCACUGAUGAGAGGGGCGUCAAGGGAGGAGCAACAUGGGGGAGAAUGUCAGGAGCUCUGAUUUGAACACAUUGGGAAGUCCAUUGGCCUUCCCGCUGAGGCAGCGAGGAGGCAUCUGGGGGGACAGCCUGGAACUUGGGUGCAAGAUCUGAGCGGAAGGUGGAAGUGUGGGAGUCAUCGAGACGGUAUUUAUAGCCACGAGGCUGCCUGAGGUCACUCCGGGAGGCAGGGUGGAUGGCGAGGUCCCAGGCUGGGCUCUGGGGCUCUCUGAAUAAUUUAUUGGCUAAUAAUUACACCGUUUUAUUCCUUGAAGCAUCUGGCACGUUGCCUGGCUCUCCAUAGAAGUUCGCCGAAUUGAGCAGAACUCUAUGGCGCUUCAUUUCCCACACGUUUCCCCUGCUAGUCAGGGCUCCCAUGCUAUCUUAGCGGGAGAGCUGGCAGUUAGAAUCAUUCAGUUAAAUGGGAAAUGAGAUAUUCUUUAGGAAUUUCUCAGAAUCGGAAGGGAACUUGGCCCUCAAAUUCCCACUCCAAUAGUGAAAGUUCCUGUAAAGACAAAAAUUCCAUGUGCUGCAGACCCCAGAGGUCAGAGCUGCAAGCCUCCCCUCACCUCCACGCCUUCACCCCACGCUCAGCUCCCUAGGUCCAGAUGUUUUAUUUUUCCUGAUCUUGGGAGAACUUUACCACGGGAAGUUUGCUCUGCAGAGAACUUGGCCGCACCAUGGAGCCCUGCGGUCUGUCCUUCGCUCAGGACGCCCAGGACGCCCGCGUGGACAAAUGCUGCCCUCGCCACCUUGCUCCCCGCCGUGAGCGCGGCGGCACUGGAAUAGCAGCAUGAAUCACUUGAACCGUGACGCCCAGGACGCCUUCUGUGGAGCUGCUGCUGGUGUCCGGGGAGCCGGGGAAGGGGACCCUGCCCCCUGCCCACCCAGGGGCUCCGAGUUCGCCAGCAACCUGGAGAAGCCAGUCGGUGGGAAUGAUGAGAGCAAACAUUUCUCACUGUUCAGACGCGGCUUUACCAUGACACUGAUUCAGCUUAAGCUUUAGGGUCUCCCGUCUGCAUCCCUUCUGCAGCGCCAUGCCUCGUGUUUUAAUUUGCAUUUUUCUUUUCUGGAAGAAGGCUCACAUUUUUAUAAGUGUCAGGUCUGACAGGACUUGAGUUUGGGUUAUUUCGUUUAAUCCUCGUAGUAACGUCGGGAAGUCACUGGCACGUCAUUAUCCCUUUACGGACAAGGUCAUAGAGCGUAGGAAAGCCAUCUUUGGGUCCCUUGAAAAUUCCACACUUGUUCAGCCCUGCACCCUCCGUUACCCUUCCUGGCACCCCGUCCCUGGCUGGCUUCUCCUCCCCCCAGGUCUCAGGGACCUUCACUAUGCACCCACCUUUAGGGGCCCCUUCCUUUCCUGCCUCCCUGGUUAUUCUCUGUCCCUUACCGUUUGCUUUCCUUAUAAGUCUAGAGUUAUCGUCAUCGGUGCAUUUAUUUAUAAAUAUAUAUAUAUAUAUAUAUAUAUAUAUAUAUAUAUA